UCUUUUAGUGAACGCUCAAUCGUUGACACAUCAAGUGUUUUCCUUGUCUCGCCGUCUCGUAUAUAAGAAGAUCGAAAUACGCGUUUAUUGUAUUACGUGUCAAUUAACGGUAGUUAAGUCAUUUAACUUAUUUAAAUAAAGCAUUUAAAUAAGAUUACAUACAUUGAAUGCCUUUCUUUUUAUCACGUUUUUCUCUGGUCUCGCGUAUAUUUGUUGUACAAUUGUCACAUCGCAUACGAAGGCGUCCCACGCUCGAUUAACGAUGGAUUAUGGGUUUGUUUGUAUAAGCAUCAAUUUACGAAACGCGGAAUAUACCGUAAAUAUUGUUGAGCAGACACACAAAUGAGCCAGACGACUCUUCUGCCUAUAUCUGGCCCGGUGAGCGGAAUUUCUUCUGUCAACAUAUUUGUUAGAGCCUUAUUUGUGAUACCAUGAGAACUACGGAUUUUUACAGCUUUCGUAUUAUACCACUUAGAAAUCUAGUAUAAUUCCAAGUUGAUGAUUUUCUUCACGUGGGGAGAUAUGUAUACGUGUGUAUUGUACAUGCUUAUAUUUUCCACUCAAGAGCACCUAUAUUUUGCGCGCUGAUAAGUAACUAUUGAAAUGGAAUUUUUUCCGUCGAGUAAGUUCGUCGAUCUAUCGACUAAUUGUGCGACCGAAUGGAAAUUUACAACUAAAAGCUUAUUAUCAUAGAGCUUCUCAAGGUGCGAGAUGAGAUUAGGAAACAUGGAGGAAAAUGAAUGGAAUAUUACAGAGUUCAGGAAGAAUCCUACAUGAUAAAUGCACACUUUACUAACAAUAAGAAUUCAAGAAAUUCGAAUAAUAUACCGAUAAAACGAGCUUUUUGCUGAAGGAGGUCAAAGUGACACAAAUAAGAAUAAUAAAUAUUAGCGAUCGCUAUUAAUUGAUAAUAAGACUUUGCAUUGAUAACAUGAAUAAAGAUAAAAAAGAUUGAGCGAUAACAUGUCACAAUUAAUGUAAAGCAAAUUCGAAAGGUUCUUUUGCCACUUCUGUCCACAUCUGGAGUAUCUUUUAUUCGUAAUAUUCUGUAAUAUUUAAAAAUAACAAUUUUCCGAUAUGUAGAAUAAAAAAAGAUUAGGAAGAUCCGUUAAAAUACAUACUCUUUGUUACGAAAAUGUCUUUUACACAUAAACUAUCUUUAGCUGUUAUAAAUCUUU
Molecule: long non-coding RNA, 1178 nt
Organism: Nylanderia fulva
Lineage: Eukaryota; Metazoa; Arthropoda; Insecta; Hymenoptera; Formicidae
Source: RefSeq, a predicted model, not a curated record